AGCGUUUGAUCCUGGCUCAGAUUGAACGCUGGCGGCAUGCUUUACACAUGCAAGUCGAACGGCAGCACGGGUGCUUGCACCUGGUGGCGAGUGGCGAACGGGUGAGUAAUGCACCGGAACGUACCCAGUAAUGGGGGAUAACACAUCGAAAGAUGUGCUAAUACCGCAUACGCCCUGAGGGGGAAAGCGGGGGAUCGUAAGACCUCGCGUUAUUGGAGCGGCCGAUGCCGGAUUAGCUAGUUGGUGAGGUAAGAGCUCACCAAGGCGACGAUCCGUAGCUGGUCUGAGAGGACGACCAGCCACACUGGGACUGAGACACGGCCCAGACUCCUACGGGAGGCAGCAGUGGGGAAUUUUGGACAAUGGGCGCAAGCCUGAUCCAGCCAUGCCGCGUGAGUGAAGAAGGCCUUCGGGUUGUAAAGCUCUUUCGCAAGGAAAGAAAACUUAUCUACUAA
RNAcentral lists this ribosomal RNA (455 nucleotides) under uncultured bacterium. Its description in RNAcentral is "bacterial SSU rRNA". It matches the Rfam family "Bacterial small subunit ribosomal RNA", at positions 8 to 463 of the family's 1533-position model. The record is from RNAcentral.